RNAcentral lists this ribosomal RNA (512 nucleotides) under Phytorus sp. BMNH#704441. RNAcentral describes it as "partial 16S ribosomal RNA". It matches the Rfam family "Bacterial large subunit ribosomal RNA", at positions 1819 to 2600 of the family's 2925-position model. Lineage: Eukaryota; Metazoa; Arthropoda; Insecta; Coleoptera; Chrysomelidae. The record is from RNAcentral.
GUCUUUUAUUGAUAAUAUUUAAAAGUCUGACCUGCCCAGUGAUUAUUGGUUUAACGGCCGCAGUAUUUUGACUGUGCUAAGGUAGCAUAAUCAUUAGUUUUUUAAUUGAGGACUGGAAUGAAAGGUUGAAUGGAAAAAUAACUGUCUUCAUAUUAAUUUUUUGAAUUUUACUUUUAAGUUAAAAGGCUUAAAUUAAAUUAAAAGACGAGAAGACCCUUUAGAGUUUAAUGUAAUUAUUAUAUUUAGAUUUAUUGGGAUAAAUUAUUUUAUAGUUUUAUAUUUGAUUGGGGUGAUUAUUAAAUUGAAUUAACUUUAAUUUUUAAGUACAUUGAUUUAUGAAAUAAUGAUCCUUAAUUAGGGAUUAUUAGAUUAAAUUACCUAAGGGAUAACAGCGUAAUUUUUCUAGAGAGUUCAAAUCGAUAGAGAAGAUUGCGACCUCGAUGUUGGAUUAAAAUAUGUAGCUAGGUGAAGAAGCUAGUUAACUUGGUCUGUUCGACCGAUAAAAUUUUACA